Parus major (Great Tit) is the source of this 1769-nucleotide long non-coding RNA. RefSeq lists it as uncharacterized. The transcript is spliced from 5 exons. NCBI's taxonomy places the organism in Eukaryota, Metazoa, Chordata, Aves, Passeriformes, Paridae. The record is from RefSeq and is a predicted model, not a curated record.
UCCCUCAGCCCCGCAACGAGGCUCGCCGAGGUGCCUGCCGUGCCUUUUGUUUGCCUUUUUUUGGUCAAAAUGCUGAUAGUCCUGCUCCAUGCACGGUUUGAGAUGGGUUGUGGCCUCCCUCAGAGCCCUUCCUGCGCUGCUUCCCUGCGCAUCUCAUGCACAGGCUCCCUUUAGGCACUGGAAAGCUACAAUUUUGUCACAACGAAGCCAAGGUAUAUCCACUCGGCACUGUUCUUGAUGGAACACUGUUAAGGAUUCUUGCAUAAGAGACAGGAGAAGAAUCCUCUGCUGGAAGUUACAUCCUAAGGUCUUUGGGAUCCUCUACCAAGUGGACAGCAAGUGACUGAUAGACCCAGCAGCAGCACCACGCCUCAGCAGGAAGUGCUGUGAUUUUACUUGGACUAAUUUGUCCUGCUGCAAGUCCAGCAAGCUGGAGGUUUGGACUCUGCUCGCCUUUCCUAAACACAGAUUGACAGCCCCACAUUUAGCUGACAAUUAAAAAUCUAGGAAGACAUCAGCUUAAAGUCAAGAGGAUUUAUUCUUCUCUCAGCAAUGUAAAUUUGUAAGUUUACACCAUUUUCACUGGAAGAAUUGCUUUGAAGGACAAAAAUUUUCACUAAGGAAAGGAUUUAACUCAGGUCAAAAAGGCAUGUCCAAAAGUAGGAGGUAAAUGCAGUUUCAUGAGCUACAGUGCACAUGUGCAACAUGUAAAGAGAAUUAUGCAAAGAAAUAACCCAAACAAACCAGCUCCAACAGCCAGAAAGAGGAAAAAAACCAACCAGACAAACAAAGAAAAUACAAGCCACCACCACCCAUCAAAAAGACAACAGAAACUCUUUGCACCCCUGGCCUACCCACUUGAAAAAUAUUAAAAUGUGUGGUGGGAAGAACACUGUCUACUUUAAAUGCAGCCGUGAGUUUCACCAGACAAAAGACUGAAGGGCAGAAGAGAUGAAGACCUCUCCUGGAGCAGCAGUUCUCCUCUCCAUGCAAAAGCCUUUCAGGCAAUUCAGGCAGCAGCAGCAGAGCAGCUUAGGCACAAAGCACAUCUCUGCCAGAUUCCCCAGCAAAUGGCCCCCAAGCCAGUGGUUAAUGUCUGAGGGCUGGCAGGGGACUCGCCGGGAGCCCGGCACUCCGUCAUAAUUAACAGGAUGCUAUUAACUAAAGAUCUUGGACGAGAAAGGUCCUCCCUCAAGUUAUACCUCUGACCUCGGUGAAGUUAAAUCCAUGUUGAAACUGGCCACUGGAGACCUGCUCCUGCAAAUCUUAAUCAGACAGCAGAUGCCUGCUGCCACCAAGAAUUGGAGUGCUUCUAGUAAACCUGUGGUGCCACACCAUCACUCCACAGGGGAAACCCACUGCCUGCUAAAAUUGGUUAUUUAACACAUUGCAGUGGAUUUUGUAAAGUCCCCCCAGCCCUUAAGUAAAUGGCAACAGAAGAGCAGAUGGUGCCUGUUUCCUCUACCAGGCAGGUGCUUGUGAGCCUGGUUUGCCAUGGGGAGCAAAGAUUCCCCAGCUAUCACUCCUUGUUGCUGUGCUUUGUUUGCUUUGCAUCCCAGUGAUUUGGGCAAAAGGAAAAAGGGGAAACUCAGUUUCCCUCUUCAGUUUCACACAAGCUCAGAGCAUGGUGCUCAGCUUCAUGCAGAGGGCAGGAUUGAGCAUGAUCAAGGUAUCACAAGACAAAACACUAAUUGCUGACAUGCAACUUUAUUUUUUUUUCCCCCAUUCCCUAAAAGGAAUAAAGUCACUCCUUGAAGUUUAACCAUUAA